UAAUACAUGCCAAGUCGAGAGCAAAUGGAUUAAGAAGCUUGCUCUUUAUGAAGUUAAGCGGCGGACCGGGUGAGUAACACGUGGGUAACCUGCCCAUAAGACUGGGAUAACUCCGGGAAACCGGGGCUAAUACCGGAUAACAUUUUGAACCGCAUGGUUCGAAAUUGAAAGGCGGCUUCGGCUGUCACUUAUGGAUGGACCCGCGUCGCAUUAGCUAGUUGGUGAGGUAACGGCUCACCAAGGCAACGAUGCGUAGCCGACCUGAGAGGGUGAUCGGCCACACUGGGACUGAGACACGGCCCAGACUCCUACGGGAGGCAGCAGUAGGGAAUCUUCCGCAAUGGACGAAAGUCUGACGGAGCAACGCCGCGUGAGUGAUGAAGGCUUUCGGGUCGUAAAACUCUGUUGUUAGGGAAGAACAAGUGCUA
RNAcentral lists this ribosomal RNA (428 nucleotides) under Bacillus thuringiensis. RNAcentral describes it as "bacterial SSU rRNA". It matches the Rfam family "Bacterial small subunit ribosomal RNA", at positions 49 to 458 of the family's 1533-position model. The record is from RNAcentral. Lineage: Bacteria; Bacillati; Bacillota; Bacilli; Caryophanales; Bacillaceae.